RNAcentral lists this ribosomal RNA (255 nucleotides) under uncultured Actinomycetales bacterium. RNAcentral describes it as "partial 16S ribosomal RNA". It matches the Rfam family "Bacterial small subunit ribosomal RNA", at positions 78 to 334 of the family's 1533-position model. The record is from RNAcentral. Lineage: Bacteria; Bacillati; Actinomycetota; Actinomycetes; Actinomycetales.
UUUUGUGGGGUGCUCGAGUGGCGAACGGGUGAGUAACACGUGAGUAACCUGCCCCUGACUUUGGGAUAACUUCAGGAAACUGGGGCUAAUACCGGAUAGGAGCUCCUGCUGCAUGGUGGGGGUUGGAAAGUUUCGGCGGUUGGGGAUGGACUCGCGGCUUAUCAGCUUGUUGGUGGGGUAGUGGCUUACCAAGGCUUUGACGGGUAGCCGGCCUGAGAGGGUGACCGGCCACAUUGGGACUGAGAUACGGCCCAG